AUGGCGAACUCGCACAUGUUCAGCCUGCGCCGGAGCAAGGCUAACUUCAACCGCAUCAUCUCGCUCUUCUCCGGCGUCUUGGCGGCUGGCAAGUGGUUCGACAACAUUUGCAAGUGGAAGAACCCGCUGACUACCAGCCUCGUCCACGUGUUGUUCUUGAUCCUUGUGUGCUACCCGGAGCUGAUCUUGUCGACGGUGUUCUUGUACAUAUCCCUGAUCGGGGUGUGGAACUACCGGCGAAGGCCGCGUAACCCACCGCACAUGGACACGGUGUUGUCGCAUGCGGAGCAGGCGCAGCCGGACGAGCUGGAUGAGGAGUUCGACACGUUUCCGACGUCCAAGCCGGGCGAUGUGGUGCUUAUGAGGUAUGACCGGCUGAGGAGUGUCGCCGGCAGGGUGCAGACGGUGGUCGGUGACCUGGCCAUGCAGGGAGAGCGCGCCCAGUCCCUGCUCAACUGGCGCGACCCUAGGGCCACCGCUAUGUUCAUCACAUUCUCAUUCAUCAUCGCCAUCGUGCUCUACGUAACGCCAUUUCAGGUGGUGGCCGUCCUCGCUGGCCUGUACCUCCUCGGGCACCCCCGGCUCCGGAGCAAGCAGCCGUCGGCGCCCUUCAACUUCUACAAGCGUCUCCCAGCCAAGGGUGAUAUGCUCCUAUGA
This 657-nucleotide ribosomal RNA is filed under the name Triticum aestivum (bread wheat). RNAcentral's name for it is "partial small subunit ribosomal RNA". The record is from RNAcentral. Lineage: Eukaryota; Viridiplantae; Streptophyta; Magnoliopsida; Poales; Poaceae.